This 253-nucleotide ribosomal RNA is filed under the name uncultured bacterium. RNAcentral describes it as "partial 16S ribosomal RNA". It matches the Rfam family "Bacterial small subunit ribosomal RNA", at positions 524 to 776 of the family's 1533-position model. The record is from RNAcentral.
UACGGAGGGUGCAAGCGUUAUCCGGAUUCACUGGGUUUAAAGGGAGCGCAGGCGGAUUGGUAAGUCAGGGGUGAAAGGCUUAAGCUUAACUUGGGAACUGCCAUUGAUACUAUAAGUCUUGAAUGUUGUUGAGGUUUGCGGAAUGGGUCAUGUAGCGGUGAAAUGCAUAGAUAUGACCCGGAACACCUAUUGCGAAGGCAGCAGGCUAAACAAAUAUUGACGCUGAGGCUCGAAAGCGUGGGGAUCAAACAGG